This is a small nuclear RNA of Cavia aperea (Brazilian guinea pig), 111 nucleotides long. Lineage: Eukaryota; Metazoa; Chordata; Mammalia; Rodentia; Caviidae. The record is from Ensembl.
GUACUCACUUUGGCAAAAACAUAUACUAAAAUUGGAAUGAUACAGAGAAGAUUAACAUGGCCAGCACACAAGAAUGAUGGCAUAUAAAUUCAUGAAGUGUUUCAUAUUUUU